UACGUAGGGGGCAAGCGUUGUCCGGAAUCAUUGGGCGUAAAGAGCGCGUAGGCGGCCCUGUAAGUCCGCUGUGAAAGUCAAGGGCUCAACCCUUGGAUGCCGGUGGAUACUGCAGGGCUAGAGUCCGGAAGAGGCGAGUGGAAUUCCUGGUGUAGCGGUGAAAUGCGCAGAUAUCGGGAGGAACACCAAUGGCGAAGGCAGCUUGCUGGGACGGUACUGACGCUGAGGAGCGAAAGCGUGGGGAGCGAACAGG
This 253-nucleotide ribosomal RNA is filed under the name uncultured bacterium. RNAcentral's name for it is "partial 16S ribosomal RNA". It matches the Rfam family "Bacterial small subunit ribosomal RNA", at positions 524 to 776 of the family's 1533-position model. The record is from RNAcentral.